AACACAUGCAAGUCGAGCGGUAACAGAAAUUAGCUUGCUAAUUUGCAGACGAGCGGCGGACGGGUGAGUAAUGCCUGGGAAUAUGCCUUAGUGUGGGGGAUAACUAUUGGAAACGAUAGCUAAUACCGCAUAAUGUCUUCGGACCAAAGAGGGGGCUCUUCGGACCUCUCGCGUCAAGAUUAGCCCAGGUGAGAUUAGCUAGUUGGUGGGGUAAGAGCUCACCAAGGCGACGAUCUCUAGCUGGUCUGAGAGGAUGAUCAGCCACACUGGAACUGAGACACGGUCCAGACUCCUACGGGAGGCAGCAGUGGGGAAUAUUGCACAAUGGGCGAAAGCCUGAUGCAGCCAUGCCGCGUGUAUGAAGAAGGCCUUCGGGUUGUAAAGUACUUUCAGUCGUGAGGAAGGGUGUGUAGUUAAUAGCUGCACAUCUUGACGUUAGCGACAGAAGAAGCACCGGCUAACUCCGUGCCAGCAGCCGCGGUAAUACGGAGGGUGCGAGCGUUAAUCGGAAUUACUGGGCGUAAAGCGCAUGCAGGUGGUUCAUUAAGUCAGAUGUGAAAGCCCGGGGCUCAACCUCGGAACCGCAUUUGAAACUGGUGAACUAGAGUGCUGUAGAGGGGGGUAGAAUUUCACGUGUAGCGGUGAAAUGCGUACAGAUCUGAAAGGAAUACCAGUGGGCGAAAGCGGCCCCUAGACAGACACAGACACCUCACAUGCGAAAGCGAGGAGGAGCAGAGCAGGAUUAGAUACCCUGGUAGUCCACGCCCCUCCACGAUGUCUACUUGGAGGUUGUGGCCUUGAGCCGCGGCCUUUCGGAGCUACGCGUUAAGUAGACUGCCUGG
RNAcentral lists this ribosomal RNA (842 nucleotides) under uncultured Vibrio sp. Its description in RNAcentral is "bacterial SSU rRNA". It matches the Rfam family "Bacterial small subunit ribosomal RNA", at positions 50 to 876 of the family's 1533-position model. The record is from RNAcentral. Lineage: Bacteria; Pseudomonadati; Pseudomonadota; Gammaproteobacteria; Vibrionales; Vibrionaceae.